Long non-coding RNA from Anopheles merus, 744 nucleotides. RefSeq lists it as uncharacterized. The transcript has 3 exons. The record is from RefSeq and is a predicted model, not a curated record. Lineage: Eukaryota; Metazoa; Arthropoda; Insecta; Diptera; Culicidae.
UUUGAUUUUCUUUGCUCCUUUUUUCGGCGCUUUUGUUUCUGUGCAGGCGGCGAAUAGAAACUUCUCUACGCAGAAGCGUGCACACUACACCUGCACCGUAAGCCGCGGCUUGUAUGUUGAUAGGAAAGCGACGGAACGUACACCAAACAACAAAACAAGAUAAGCGAACUGAAGUUGAAUAAAACGCAACAACCGCGCGCUCGCUCGCUUGGUGCGCGCUUUUGGUGACUCGCUCGACCUCGUGUCGCUGCCAUACCGAGAACGUGCGUGCCUGCGUGUGUGCCGUUAAAAUGGUUGGCGACGACGUCUCCAUUUACAGGCACAGAGAGGUUGUCUAGUACAGGAGGCAACAGGCACUCAUUCUAUUUCCAGUAAGAAUUCGCGCGGCACGACGGCACGUUUCGUCCAACCAAUGUUCGCAACUUCUAAGCCGCGACAUGUGUGCAACGUUUGCUGCCAAGUUAUCCAAAUCUCCGAUAUCGACCUUGCCCGGUGUGUGAGUUUGUGGUGGCGUUGCGAUCAGAGCGAGUGUUUUUUUUUUUUUUUGCUGUUGUUUGUUUUAUCUUUAUCUUAUCGCUGGGAGUUACUUGCACCGGGUAUGACUACGCCCACGACCUGUGGCGCUAUUGAGCUUUAGGAUGAUUUAUACACGCACCGAGCAAUCAAGCACGGCAAAUGAUGAGUGAUGCGCAUCCGGUUCUGAGAUUCUUCAAACGAUUGGACAUAAUAAAAAACUGUUUUCAA